RNAcentral lists this ribosomal RNA (253 nucleotides) under uncultured prokaryote. RNAcentral describes it as "partial 16S ribosomal RNA". It matches the Rfam family "Bacterial small subunit ribosomal RNA", at positions 524 to 776 of the family's 1533-position model. The record is from RNAcentral.
GACGGAGGGUGCAAGCGUUGCUCGGAAUCAUUGGGCGUAAAGGGUGCGUAGGCGGCUUUUUAAGUCUGACGUGAAAGCCCAAGGCUCAGCCUUGGAAGUGCGACAGAAACUGAAAGGCUAGAGUGCCGGAGGGGAGAGUGGAAUUCCUGGUGUAGCGGUGAAAUGCGUAGAUAUCAGGAGGAAUACCGGUGGCGAAAGCGACUCUCUGGACGGUAACUGACGCUGAGGCACGAAAGCGUGGGGAGCAAACAGG